CUGUGGGACCAGCAGCCCUCUGAAGAUCUGGAUCUUCCUGGAUCCUAUCUCUGAGUGCAUACCAGGCCAGUGAGAGCUCUCUUCACUUCUCACCAUAGCAGCUUCAAUAUGUAUUUUCCCCAGCUCAUCUUUCCAAGAACACAUGGUGUAUGAGUUUUGUAUCAUUUCCAGUACAGAAUAACUUUGCCAUACAUAGGAAGAUACGUUAGCAGAUCUAGGAAAAAAAGAUAAACAAUCAUAUGUAGUCUGCUUCAGUUUUUUCAUGUGGUAAACGUAGGAAGAUUCCUUUAAGUAAUUAAUCCAAUAACUAAAAACUUUUCCCUUUUUGUCCCCUAUGGCUGCCUUCCCCAUAUUCUUACAUGGUUGGGUGGGAGGCACUCUCAAUCCUCUAUGUCACAGUAGGUGUCUAUUACUGAGUUAUGGUUAGAGUUUGGGUGUGAUGGAUGGGCUUGCAAGGGAAGGAGCCUGCUGGUGGCAUUCACCACUGUGAAGACUGGUCAUUAUCAAAGUGAACAAUAUCAAUUCAGUUAAACCAGUCACAAAUGUUUCAUCUGAACUGCAGUUCAUGUUACUUAAAUGCUAACAGUGCAUUUAAUCUCACUAUGAAUAGAGAAACAGCAGAGGAGACAACAACAUGAAGUUUGCAGUUUGUCCCAGGAUGCAUGGAGAGACCAAUCAGGAUCAAGCAGAAUUCAAGAAAUAGAGACUGAUUGACACUUUUUGCCAAAUCACUGCAAGAGUAAAAUAAAGAGCAAAUCCCCAGAUCACCUCCAGAUACUGAACUGAAAACAAACCACUUCAUUCAUCAUGCUCUGUAUACAACUGAACUUUAUUUAUACAAAGGAAAAAAUCUCUGCAAAGACAUCAAACAACUGUUCAGAGGUGGUAGGAAUUAAUUCAGUGAUACAAA
Long non-coding RNA from Manacus vitellinus (golden-collared manakin), 910 nucleotides. RefSeq lists it as uncharacterized. The record is from RefSeq and is a predicted model, not a curated record. Lineage: Eukaryota; Metazoa; Chordata; Aves; Passeriformes; Pipridae. The transcript is spliced from 3 exons.